Molecule: ribosomal RNA, 1540 nt
Filed under: Klebsiella pneumoniae
Lineage: Bacteria; Pseudomonadati; Pseudomonadota; Gammaproteobacteria; Enterobacterales; Enterobacteriaceae
Description: bacterial SSU rRNA
Rfam family: Bacterial small subunit ribosomal RNA
Source: RNAcentral
AAAUUGAAGAGUUUGAUCAUGGCUCAGAUUGAACGCUGGCGGCAGGCCUAACACAUGCAAGUCGAGCGGUAGCACAGAGAGCUUGCUCUCGGGUGACGAGCGGCGGACGGGUGAGUAAUGUCUGGGAAACUGCCUGAUGGAGGGGGAUAACUACUGGAAACGGUAGCUAAUACCGCAUAAUGUCGCAAGACCAAAGUGGGGGACCUUCGGGCCUCAUGCCAUCAGAUGUGCCCAGAUGGGAUUAGCUAGUAGGUGGGGUAACGGCUCACCUAGGCGACGAUCCCUAGCUGGUCUGAGAGGAUGACCAGCCACACUGGAACUGAGACACGGUCCAGACUCCUACGGGAGGCAGCAGUGGGGAAUAUUGCACAAUGGGCGCAAGCCUGAUGCAGCCAUGCCGCGUGUGUGAAGAAGGCCUUCGGGUUGUAAAGCACUUUCAGCGGGGAGGAAGGCGAUAAGGUUAAUAACCUUGUCGAUUGACGUUACCCGCAGAAGAAGCACCGGCUAACUCCGUGCCAGCAGCCGCGGUAAUACGGAGGGUGCAAGCGUUAAUCGGAAUUACUGGGCGUAAAGCGCACGCAGGCGGUCUGUCAAGUCGGAUGUGAAAUCCCCGGGCUUAACCUGGGAACUGCAUUCGAAACUGGCAGGCUAGAGUCUUGUAGAGGGGGGUAGAAUUCUAGGUGUAGCGGUGAAAUGCGUAGAGAUCUGGAGGAAUACCGGUGGCGAAGGCGGCCCCCUGGACAAAGACUGACGCUCAGGUGCGAAAGCGUGGGGAGCAAACAGGAUUAGAUACCCUGGUAGUCCACGCCGUAAACGAUGUCGAUUUGGAGGUUGUGCCCUUGAGGCGUGGCUUCCGGAGCUAACGCGUUAAAUCGACCGCCUGGGGAGUACGGCCGCAAGGUUAAAACUCAAAUGAAUUGACGGGGGCCCGCACAAGCGGUGGAGCAUGUGGUUUAAUUCGAUGCAACGCGAAGAACCUUACCUGGUCUUGACAUCCACAGAACUUUCCAGAGAUGGAUUGGUGCCUUCGGGAACUGUGAGACAGGUGCUGCAUGGCUGUCGUCAGCUCGUGUUGUGAAAUGUUGGGUUAAGUCCCGCAACGAGCGCAACCCUUAUCCUUUGUUGCCAGCGGUUCGGCCGGGAACUCAAAGGAGACUGCCAGUGAUAAACUGGAGGAAGGUGGGGAUGACGUCAAGUCAUCAUGGCCCUUACGACCAGGGCUACACACGUGCUACAAUGGCAUAUACAAAGAGAAGCGACCUCGCGAGAGCAAGCGGACCUCAUAAAGUAUGUCGUAGUCCGGAUUGGAGUCUGCAACUCGACUCCAUGAAGUCGGAAUCGCUAGUAAUCGUAGAUCAGAAUGCUACGGUGAAUACGUUCCCGGGCCUUGUACACACCGCCCGUCACACCAUGGGAGUGGGUUGCAAAAGAAGUAGGUAGCUUAACCUUCGGGAGGGCGCUUACCACUUUGUGAUUCAUGACUGGGGUGAAGUCGUAACAAGGUAACCGUAGGGGAACCUGCGGUUGGAUCACCUCCUUA